UAAGCAUAUCAAUAAGCGGAGGAAAAGAAACCAACAGGGAUUGCCCCAGUAACGGCGAGUGAAGCGGCAACAGCUCAAAUUUGAAAUCUGGCUCACGCCCGAGUUGUAAUUUGGAGAGGAUGCUUCUGGCGCGACGCCCCCCGAGUUCCCUGGAACGGGACGCCAUAGAGGGUGAGAGCCCCGUACGGACGGACGUCAAGCCUCUGUGUAGCACCUUCGACGAGUCGAGUAGUUUGGGAAUGCUGCUCUAAGCGGGAGGUAAAUUUCUUCUAAAGCUAAAUACCGGCCCAAGACCGAUAGCGCACAAGUAGAGUGAUCGAAAGAUGAAAAGCACUUUGAAAAGAGGGUUAAACAGCACGUGAAAUUGUUGAAAGGGAAGCACUCGUGACUAGACUUGCGCCCGGCGGAUCAUCCAGCGCUCUGCGCUGGUGCACUUCGCCGGGCUCAGGCCAGCAUCGGCUCCCCCAGGCGGAUAAAAGCUCCGGGAACGUAGCUCCUCCGGGAGUGUUAUAGCCCGCUGCAGAAUACGCCUUGGGGGGCCGAGGUUCGCGCUCCGCAAGGAUGCUGGCGUAAUGGUCACCAGUGGCCCGUCUUGAAACACGGACCAAGGAGUCAAGCAUUAGGGCGAGUGUUUGGGUGUCAAACCCGCACGCGUAAUGAAAGUGAAUGCUGGUGAGAGCUUCGGCGCAUCAUCGACCGAUCCUGAUGUAUUCGGAUGGAUUUGAGUAGGAGCCUUACCGCUUGGACCCGAAAGUUGAUGAACUAUGCCUGUAUAGGGUGAAGCCAGAGGAAACUCUGGUGGAGGCUCGCAGCGGUUCUGACGUGCAAAUCGAUCGUCAAAUAUGGGCAUGGGGGCGAAAGACUAAUCGAAUCAACUAGUAGCUG
This 885-nucleotide ribosomal RNA is filed under the name Sporidesmium sp. Its description in RNAcentral is "partial large subunit ribosomal RNA". It matches the Rfam family "Eukaryotic large subunit ribosomal RNA", at positions 35 to 953 of the family's 3401-position model. The record is from RNAcentral. Lineage: Eukaryota; Fungi; Ascomycota; Sordariomycetes; Sporidesmiaceae.